ACAAGCCUACAAGCCUACAUUCCUGCAAACAUGCAAAGAAACUCACCUCUUCCAGAAAGACACUUCGCUUCUUCAAAGGAACUGAGCUUCUGGAACUGGAUCUGUGAAUAUUCCAGGCUAUGACGUCAGAGUCUCCGUGGAGAUGCCGCCAUGGAGACCGGUAGUUCCCACCGAUAAGGACCGCAGGAGUACAAGCUACAAGGUGUUGUGAGUAAUUGUGGGUAUUGCGAAAUCUGUCCCAGACAGCCGCAUGCAACAGUACUUAUACGCAUGCGUAGUAACGUCCAGACCAGCCCCACCCCUUUUAUCGCAUGCAGAACUUUAGCUUUUCGAAAAUGGAUCCUAGCACACCAGCUAGCCGCAUCAGGAGGAGCUACACCUAACCCCAAUGCUCCCCCCAACCAAUCCAAGCAACCCAUGAGACAUAUAUUUGUGGAGAGUGUCACAGUGAAGCCGAGGGAUCCGAUUCGUUGUCAAGAGUGUGGCUGCAGAAUCAUGUACAAGAAACGAACCAAAAAAAGUAUCCUUAUGUGUACAGUAUUAUAAUAGCUAUUCUAAACCGGUAGCGUGACAUUAUUUUUGCGAGGGGCUUAUACUUCACUGUUUUCACUGUUUAGCAAUCCUCUACGAAAAGACUU
This is a long non-coding RNA of Halichondria panicea, 638 nucleotides long. RefSeq lists it as uncharacterized. Lineage: Eukaryota; Metazoa; Porifera; Demospongiae; Suberitida; Halichondriidae. The record is from RefSeq and is a predicted model, not a curated record. The transcript is spliced from 3 exons.